UACGUAGGGGGCAAGCGUUAUCCGGAUUUACUGGGUGUAAAGGGAGCGUAGACGGCAGCGCAAGUCUGGAGUGAAAUGCCGGGGCCCAACCCCGUCGUGCCGUUGAAACUGACGCCCUUGAGUGAGUGAGAAGUAAGCGGAAUGCGUGGUGUAGCGGUGAAAUGCAUAGAUAUCACGCAGAACGCCGAUUGCGAAGGCAGCUUACCGGCGCUCAACUGACGCUGAGGCACGAAAGUGCGGGUAUCGAACAGG
RNAcentral lists this ribosomal RNA (252 nucleotides) under uncultured Bacteroidales bacterium. RNAcentral describes it as "partial 16S ribosomal RNA". It matches the Rfam family "Bacterial small subunit ribosomal RNA", at positions 524 to 776 of the family's 1533-position model. The record is from RNAcentral. Lineage: Bacteria; Pseudomonadati; Bacteroidota; Bacteroidia; Bacteroidales.